Molecule: microRNA, 22 nt
Filed under: Monodelphis domestica (gray short-tailed opossum)
Lineage: Eukaryota; Metazoa; Chordata; Mammalia; Didelphimorphia; Didelphidae
Description: mdo-miR-12334-5p
Source: miRBase by way of RNAcentral
UUAGCCAGAGGAGAAAAGGAGG